UACGGAGGGGGCUAGCGUUGUUCGGAAUUACUGGGUGUAAAGCGCACGUAGGCGGCUUUGUAAGUUAGAGGUGAAAGCCUGGAGCUCAACUCCAGAAUUGCCUUUAAGACUGCAUCGCUUGAAUCCAGGAGAGGUGAGUGGAAUUCCGAGUGUAGAGGUGAAAUUCGUAGAUAUUCGGAAGAACACCAGUGGCGAAGGCGGCUCACUGGACUGGUAUUGACGCUGAGGCACGACAGCGUGGGGAGCAAACAGG
RNAcentral lists this ribosomal RNA (253 nucleotides) under uncultured bacterium. RNAcentral's name for it is "partial 16S ribosomal RNA". It matches the Rfam family "Bacterial small subunit ribosomal RNA", at positions 524 to 776 of the family's 1533-position model. The record is from RNAcentral.